UCCUCCUCUCUCCCGCUCGCCGGAGCGUCGCUGCGGUGCUUCCUCCGUGCGCUCUGCCCCCGCAGCGCGCUCCUCCGGUCUGUCGCCUGACGCGGCAGGAACAGGCCCACGUCUCUCGUCGUCGACGAGGCGGUGGCUCGGAGUUGGAGCGGUAGCGGCGCCCUCGGAUCCGGCGGCGGGGAUCCCGCGGGAUGCUCGGGAGGGGAAUGUGGGUCCCUUUUUGAGGCGGGUUCGGUCUGGGAGGCCGCGGCGAGAUGAUGCGUUCAAGUGGAGGCCCAACUUGCUGAACUGGAGAUAAAAAGGUUGGGUGCCUUCAGUCAGUGAGCUGAGGUCGUGUAGAUCAAGGGACUGAUGCCUGCCGGAGAAUGGCUGGGAAUGAUGAAGUUUACCUGAAACCUGUUUCAUGCGGGUCAAGGUUACGGAGGAGUGGUGAUGCAUCAUUAAGGUUGGGAGGGUCUAUGAGAGACCCUUUUUUGAAGCACAAAGUGAAGAAGUUUGAUCUAUCUAGCCUAAAUUGGAUUGAUGAGAUUCAAGAAUGUCCUGUGUUUUCUCCAUCAAUAGAGGAGUUUGAGGAUCCACUUGUUUAUCUCAGUAAAAUUGCCCCUGUUGCUGCAAAAUAUGGUAUAUGCAAGAUUGUUUCACCUCUCUGUGCUUCUGUACCUGUUGGAGCUGUACUUAUGAAGGAACAAGGUGGGCUAAAAUUUACUACCAGAGUGCAGCCUCUCCGCCUUGCUGAAUGGUCCAAGGAUGACAAGUUUGCUUUCUUCAUGAGUGGAAGAAAGUACACAUUUCGAGAUUUUGAGAAGAUGGCAAAUAAAGAAUUUGUUCGAAGAUACUCAAGUGCUGCUUGUCUUCCACCAAGAUAUAUGGAAGAAGAAUUCUGGCAUGAAAUAGCCUUUGGCAAGAUGCAGUCUGUUGAGUAUGCAUGUGAUAUUGAUGGUAGUGCAUUCUCUUCUUCUCCUAAUGAUCAACUGGGCAUAAGCAAAUGGAACUUGAAGAGACUUUCUCGGUUGCCCAAAUCAACUCUGCGUCUCCUCAGAGCAGCAAUUCCAGGAGUAACAGAUCCAAUGCUAUAUAUUGGAAUGCUCUUUAGUAUGUUCGCAUGGCACGUGGAAGAUCAUUACUUGUACAGCAUUAACUAUCAUCACUGUGGGGCGUCAAAAACAUGGUACGGGAUCCCGGGAAAAGCUGCUCUGGAUUUUGAGAAAGUGGUACAUGAGCAUGUGUACAAUCAUGAAAUUUUAUCAGGAGAAGGGGAAAAUGCAGCAUUUGAUGUCCUUUUGGGAAAGACUACAAUGUUUCCUCCAAAUAUUCUGUUGCAUCAUCAUGUUCCUGUCUAUAGAGCAGUACAGAAACCUGGAGAGUUUGUUAUCACAUUUCCUCGAGCUUAUCAUUCAGGUUUCAGUCAUGGUUUUAAUUGUGGGGAGGCAGUGAAUUUCGCUAUUGGAGAAUGGUUUCCUCUGGGAGCACUUGCUAGUCAGCGUUAUGCACAUCUAAAGAGGACACCAUUACUGCCAUAUGAGGAACUUCUUUGUAAAGAGGCGACACUUCUUGGUCAUGAAUUUUCUACCUGUGAUUAUAAAGAUACAAUAGCAUUAACUGGAGAUGCGCACAGUCAACGAUGUAUGAAAGUCCCUUUUGUGCAGUUGAUGAGGGUCCAACAUCGUAUCCGUUGGUUCCUUAUGAAAAUGGGUGCUCGCACACAUUAUAAAGCAGAUAUUGAUGCCACAAUUCUCUGUGGAAUAUGUAGACAUGACUGCUAUGUUGCCCACAUUAUGUGUAACUGCAGAAUUGAUGCGAUUUGCCUUUGCCAUGAGGAGGAGAUUAGGAAGUGCCCUUGCAGUUGUGAUCGUGUUGUAUUUGUGAGGAAAGAUAUCUUUGAACUGGAGAUGAUAUCAAAAAAGUUUGAGGAAAGUGGAAUACUGGAUGCAGUCAAAAAGCAAAUGUCUCGAAGUGACGGGCCUAGUCAGCAUUCUAACUUGUUUAACUGUAUUGAUCAUGAAGCUGAGUACCACCCAUACUCCAAGAUUCGCAUAGAUUCAUCGCCUGAAGUAUAUAGCAUUUCAGAGACAAAUUUUAUUCGUUAUGACUUGAACAAUCCACAUCCUGCUGCAUCAACAGUAACAUUUUCUUCCGUACCCCAUGAGUAUUCUACACAAAGUGAUGAGUGUACGAGUUCUAACAGAAGAACCUUCUCUAGUUCUUGUCUCGAGAAUACAAUUACCCCUGAAAAUGCAAUUAGUAAUGCUUACCCGUUAUCUACUCCUGAUCGAGCAUGUCUGUCUGACAAAUUGGCUAUACACGACACUGAUGAUUCUGACUAUGAGAUAUUUAGAGUAAAGAGAAGAUCUGGCCUAACUCCUGAGAAAAGACACAUGGAAGAUGGAACAGCAAAUUUCACUGAGAAUCAGGUAUUGAAACGGCUGAAGAAAAUUAAUGGACGUGACAGACAUGAACAAAAGUUGCCUGAACUAUCCUGUGGUGCAAGUGAACAUGUCCAUACAGAUUAUUAUAGGCAUUGUGCUGACUUUAUUUCUGAAAAUGGAGAUGACUUCAUAGACCCAACCAAAUUGAAGAUGGUACAUCAACUAGAUGCAAAUAUUGUAGAGGAUGAAGUUGCUUCCAGUCAGAAAUAUAAUAGUUACAACUACCAAUCUCCAUCUAUAGAGCUUGGGCCAAAACGCUUGAAAAUUCGUGGCCCGUCUUUUCCCAGCAGAAGUUCUGACCUGGAGGUAUCUUGUAGAUUCCAGGACAAUGACUUGGGUAGCCAGCAUGCUCGAUGAAGACUGCUAGGCCGUUGGUUCUAACACUAAGUUAACAAACAGCAUUCCUAACUUCUGGAAGCUGAAAGCUCCUUCUAGCCAAAGGUUUCCAAUUUGUUGGUCGGUCAGUUGGUAACAGAUCGCAGAUUUGAUUCUUCUGCGGGCCUCCAAUAGAGGCAUUGACAUGGGUUCAUGGCUGGAUUCUUGAUUUUAUUGCUGGGUCACAUUUGUGGUGGGGGGGCCUGAAAGCAGUAGGCAGACAAUUCCGAUGUUUUUCCACUGUACAUCUUCACGUACAUCUCCUUUCAACUUUCUCUUAGGUUUUCCACUGUGAAGAGGUUGAAACUUUGACUGUCGGUAGUUGGACCACGGCACGGUGCAGUGGGGGCCAUGCAGCGGGGAGCCGUAUGAUGGGUGGGUCCAGGCGGCCAUGACCCGAUGACGCCCACCGAUCCAUCCACGCUGCUCAGCUCACGGUGGUGGGGCACUUGGUACAGUCCAUGCAGGUAACCCGCUCCUUGGGCAUUAUGUGCCACCGCUUCUCUCAUUUACAACUCCGUCCGAGGCCGGCCGGCCGGGUCGGUCUCGCUGCUGCUGUCCCCGUCCGCGCACAUGGCGUGAUGUUGGAGAUUGUUCCGCUAGCUUGAGGUCACCACCAGCUUUGCUGCUGCUCCCUUUCUUCUCUCUGAGAACUCAGCAAGUAUACUUCCAUGCUUCGGUGAGAUAACUACUACCAUUGAUGCUUUGCAUGCAUGUGUGUCUCCUACGCUUCGGUACGUGAUGCAUGCAUGUGUGUUCCCCUAUUCUUUUCUCUUCUUAUAAGCUUGGUUUUUCAUAGGUGUAUCACACGGAAGCAUGCAGUUGGUGAAUAAAUUGAUAGGAGUAUUACGACUAGUUCAAUAUGUCUUGAAAGGGAUGAGCAUUUUGGUUUAAUUGGGAGGGCGAUGUGUGCCUGCAACGUCAAUUUUUGGUCGAGCAAGGCAACAAUGCCUCUGUAUCUGUAUGCUCAAAACCAGGGACCAUGCAUGCAUGCUGCAUGUCUGUUUCUUGUCCAAAUAUAAUAAGCUCACAGGAAUAAUAGUGUCACAGAAAGUCAGAAAUAAACAGACACCUCCACCUUAUUAUUGUCCAUCUCUGGACUCUGGACAUCGAUCUGAUUAUUAUGCUUGUACUCGACGCAAAUAU
Oryza brachyantha (malo sina) is the source of this 3947-nucleotide RNA transcript. It is a transcript of the gene named lysine-specific demethylase JMJ706-like, with no coding region annotated. The record is from RefSeq and is a predicted model, not a curated record. Lineage: Eukaryota; Viridiplantae; Streptophyta; Magnoliopsida; Poales; Poaceae. The transcript has 12 exons.